AUUUUAAUAAUAAUAUAAGUUGUAUAACAAGAUUUCAAAUUGUAUAAGAAAUACGAUACGAGACUUUAGAGGAUAGAACCCCGUUGAUAUAUAUUGUUGUCGCUUUCCUCCACGUGGAUUGUGGAACUCGAAUUAUGUCGCUUUUGUUAACCAUGGUUAACACCUGGAGUACGUCUAACCACACCUUGAAGUAGAUCGUGACGCGUGUCAGAUAUCAACGGCCAAGAUCCAAAGCAAGAAGAUAUUCGAGAAGCAAUGACUCUAUUUAUCACCGCGUCCCACGCCUAACCCUAACGUCAGUCCUGAGUCGUCCUUAUCCUUGACGUGAAUUCACUGAGUCUGCGAUGGCAAACCCUAAGGUCUUCUUUGACAUGUCCGUCGGCGGUGUGCCUGCCGGUCGGAUCGUGAUGGAGCUUUUCGCCGACACCACUCCCCGCACUGCUGAAAACUUCCGAGCACUCUGCACCGGCGAGAAGGGAACCGGCCGCAGCGGAAAGCCUCUGCACUACAAGGGAUCUAAGUUCCACCGGGUCAUCCCCGGGUUCAUGUGCCAGGGAGGCGAUUUCACCGCCGGAAACGGUACUGGUGGCGAAUCGAUCUAUGGAUCUAAGUUCGCCGACGAGAACUUCAUCCACAAGCACACUGGCCCGGGAAUACUAUCCAUGGCAAACGCUGGUCCCGGAACCAAUGGAUCACAGUUUUUCAUCUGUACAGCCAAGACCUCGUGGCUUGAUGGUAAGCACGUGGUGUUUGGGAAGGUGAUUGAAGGGCUGGAUGUGGUGAAAGCCAUUGAGAAGGUCGGAUCUUCGUCUGGAUCCACCGCCAAGGCUGUUGUGGUCAGUGACUGCGGGCAGCUUAGUUGAAUGACUCCUGUGAUCUAUGAGCCUCGAUCUUUACUUUGUCAUGUUAGGGUUUGGUGCUUUUUAUCUUUUUUUUUUUCAUCUUUUCUUGAAGGGUAUGCAGUGAUUUCGGAUCGCUUGUUCCGUGAAGAGAGGGAAGGAGAGGCUUUAUUUGAAUAAGCUAGGUUUUGUUACCUACCUACCGUCUUGUUAUGCUAUGAUAUGAACCUUCUAUCACUCUAAAAAGUGUUUUUAUCCUCUGUUUGGCUGUCGGUGAAAACGAAGGAAAUCACAUUCCUUUUUAAGACGAGCUCCAUUUUCACUCACUAGCAUGUCUUUCCUCUCAAACUUUUGCCUGGAUCCAAAUCAUAUGCCACCAAUCUCAAACGUUGACAUUAGAAGACAGUAUACAAUUUAGCAAUAUACAUGUAUCACUAGACACAUGACAAUAUGGAGAUCCAUAAAGUAAAAUUAGCGGAAUCUGAUUUAUAUAUGGGAAAGAUGUUCAACUCGUUGGAUGAAGACAAAACAACGAAAAUUUUCGGUACUUCCUAAAAAGGGAUAAUCGCCGAUACAUUGGACUUGGAGGGUUUUUUAUAUUUUUAUAACAAAAACAGGAAAAUGAAAUUAGUGAAUUAGCCUAUUGGUUGAUAAAAUACGUUCUGG
Molecule: long non-coding RNA, 1505 nt
Filed under: Vitis vinifera (wine grape)
Lineage: Eukaryota; Viridiplantae; Streptophyta; Magnoliopsida; Vitales; Vitaceae
Description: long non-coding RNA (VVIN_LNC006094)
Source: RNAcentral